RNAcentral lists this long non-coding RNA (683 nucleotides) under Manacus vitellinus (golden-collared manakin). Its description in RNAcentral is "lncRNA (ENSMVIG00005013359.1)". The record is from RNAcentral. Lineage: Eukaryota; Metazoa; Chordata; Aves; Passeriformes; Pipridae.
GUCUGCUCGGGCAACUUGAACAAAAGGAGAAACUCGGAUUAACUCUCCAUCUCUCCCUCGCCUCUCCCGGGUUAUCUCAUCUUCGGCAACUUUAUCCGGAGAGAUUUACUCAACUUUCUCCGAGCUCUCCCGCCGCUUAAAAGUAAAGAGCCCCGCCGUAGGCUUCGAAGGAAAUCUGGUUUCACAGUUUAGAGAAAGGAGAAGGUCAAAACAUGGUUGUCGGGAAAAUGGGAUGGUUGCCAGAACAUCAGUCUGUGAUGGGUGCCAUACUGCAUUACUCUUUGAAUGGUGGAAUACAUCUUGGGAUUCUUCAGGGGUGCUUAACGUGGUACAAAACCGUACAGCUGCUUAGCAUCUUAAAUGUUUGCAUUCGUACAUAAUUGUUAAUGGUCUCCUGGGGGAAGUGGAAGAGUCUCUCGAAGCUGAAACUUGUGGAUAUUGUAGAAAAUGCUGCUGAGACCAGUUGGAUUAUAUCAGAACCUGACAUCAGAGUUCUGCAGCUGAUGAAAGAUGCUGUGUCUGCUCCAGGUGUAAACCGAACCACCAGAAGCGUGCAAAACCAAAGCUUUCUGAGCCCCGGUGUAGUUAUUCUGGACAAGUUUCCAGCACGUGUGGAGAACACUACACCGUACACACAUCAGGACUAUAAAAAAAACAGUCGCUUUAGUCACAGAGAAGCAUGA